RNAcentral lists this ribosomal RNA (388 nucleotides) under Syndiniales sp. RNAcentral describes it as "partial small subunit ribosomal RNA". It matches the Rfam family "Eukaryotic small subunit ribosomal RNA", at positions 582 to 975 of the family's 1831-position model. The record is from RNAcentral. Lineage: Eukaryota; Dinophyceae; Syndiniales.
AUUCCAGCUCCAAUAGCGUAUAUUAAAGUUGUUGCGGUUAAAAAGCUCGUAGUUGGAUCUCUGUCGAAAAUGGGCGGUCCUCACUACGUGGGUGUAUUGUUUCAGUUUCGGCAUCCUCAUGGGGAACGUUGCUGCGCUUGAUUGCGUGGCGCGGUAUCCAUGACUUUUACUUUGAGGAAAUUAGAGUGUUCACGGCAGGCAAUCGCCUUGAAUAUAUUAGCAUGGAAUAAUAAUAUAGGAUCUUGGUUCUAUUUUGUUGGUUUCUAGAGCUAAGAUAAUGAUUAAUAGGGAUAAUUGGGGGUCUUUGUAUCAUGGCGUCAGAGGUGGAAUUCUUGGAUUGCCAUGCGACAAACUACUGCGAAAGCAUUGACCAAGGAUGUUUUCAUUG